ACGCACGCUGGCGGCGUGCUUAACACAUGCCAGUCGAACGGAAAGGCCCUGCUAUUGUGGGGUGCUCGAGUGGCGAACGGGUGAGUAACACGUGAGUAACCUGCCCUUGACUUUGGGAUAACUUCAGGAAACUGGGGCUAAUACCGGAUAGGAGCUCCUGCUGCAUGGUGGGGGUUGGAAAGUUUCGGCGGUUGGGGAUGGACUCGCGGCUUAUCAGCUUGUUGGCGGGGUAGUGGCUUACCAAGGCUUUGACGGGUAGCCGGCCUGAGAGGGUGACCGGCCACAUUGGGCCUGAGAUACGGCCCAGACUCCGACCGGAGGCAGCAGUGGGGAUUAUUGCACACUGGGCGGAAGCCUGAUGCAGCAACGCCGCGUGCGGGAUGACGGCCUUCGGGUUGUAAACCGCUUUCGCCUGUGACGAAGCGUGAGUGACGGUAAUGGGUAAAGAAGCACCGGCUAACUACGUG
RNAcentral lists this ribosomal RNA (467 nucleotides) under uncultured bacterium. RNAcentral describes it as "partial 16S ribosomal RNA". It matches the Rfam family "Bacterial small subunit ribosomal RNA", at positions 29 to 507 of the family's 1533-position model. The record is from RNAcentral.